GGACAAGACCAGCUUAUUUAUGUUCAUUACUCAAAAUUAAUCACUUACACAUCCUCAAGGACAUAAAAAACAUAAAUUACAACUGUUUAUCUUCAGUGCUUGCCAUGCUUUGUGACAGAUGUUGGCUACCUAGUACACGAUUUUGAAGCUUGAGAAUGAAUGUUGCAGAUCUAAUCCCAUAUAUAUAAGUAAAACUGAUAUACGAAAUGAUUAAAUAACAUAUUUUGAACACCCUUAAUAUAAUAAGUUGCUAUUUCUGGACACCCUUUGUUAAAUUCCUGGCUCCACCACUGAUUGGUAACCAAUUUCAAGCAUGACCUGCAAAAGCAUGGUUGAAGACUCGGAACCAAUGUCGUUAUCAGAUAAAAUAGGUGCCAAUUCUUACUUAGAAUCAAGAUAGGCUGUCAUCCUCAUUUUUCCAGAACCAAAUGCUGCAUCAGUUAUGUCAAGCUUAUUCUUCUUAUGGGGAUAACUGAGUGAUAACAUAGUUAUGCAGAUUACUUUUUCUUAUGCAGCAAACAAAUGUUA
Molecule: unclassified non-coding RNA, 528 nt
Filed under: Hevea brasiliensis (rubber tree)
Lineage: Eukaryota; Viridiplantae; Streptophyta; Magnoliopsida; Malpighiales; Euphorbiaceae
Source: RNAcentral